This 468-nucleotide ribosomal RNA is filed under the name uncultured bacterium. Its description in RNAcentral is "partial 16S ribosomal RNA". It matches the Rfam family "Bacterial small subunit ribosomal RNA", at positions 28 to 507 of the family's 1533-position model. The record is from RNAcentral.
GACGAACGCUGGCGGCGUGCUUAACACAUGCAAGUCGAACGGAAAGGCCCUGCUUUUGUGGGGUGCUCGAGUGGCGAACGGGUGAGUAACACGUGAGUUCCCUGCCCUUGCCUGUGGGAUAAGCUCAUGCAACUGGGUCUAAUACCGGAUAGGAGCUCCCGCCGCUGGGUGGGGGCUCGAUAGUUUCGGCGGUUGGGGAUGGACUAGCGGCCUAUCGGGUUGAUGGUUGGGUAGUGGCUGAGCAAGGCCUUGAGCGGUAGCCGGGCUGCGCGGGGGAGCUGCCCCAUUGGGACUGGAAUGAGGCACAGACUCCUAUGGUACGCAGCAGAGGAGAAUAUUGUACAGUGGGCGGAGGCCUAAUGCAACAACGCCGCGUGCGGGAUGACAGGCAGCGGGUAGUGAACCGCUUUCGCCUGUGACGAGACGUUAGUGACAGUAAUGGGUGAAUAAGCACCGGCUAACUACGUG